RNAcentral lists this ribosomal RNA (373 nucleotides) under uncultured bacterium. RNAcentral describes it as "bacterial SSU rRNA". It matches the Rfam family "Bacterial small subunit ribosomal RNA", at positions 525 to 896 of the family's 1533-position model. The record is from RNAcentral.
ACGUAGGGUGCGAGCGUUAAUCGGAAUUACUGGGCGUAAAGGGUGCGCAGGCGGUGUAUCAAGUCUGACGUGAAAGCCCCGGGCUUAACCUGGGAACGGCGUUGGAAACUGAUAGACUUGAGUGCGGCAGAGGGGGGUAGAAUUCCACGUGUAGCAGUGAAAUGCGUAGAGAUGUGGAGGAAUACCGAUGGCGAAGGCAGCCCCCUGGGUUGACACUGACGCUCAUGCACGAAAGCGUGGGUAGCAAACAGGAUUAGAUACCCUGGUAGUCCACGCCCUAAACGAUGUCAACUAGUUGUUGGGGAGGGAGACCUCCUUGGUAACGCAGCUAACGCGUGAAGUUGACCGCCUGGGGAGUACGGUCGCAAGAUUA